RNAcentral lists this ribosomal RNA (497 nucleotides) under uncultured bacterium. Its description in RNAcentral is "partial 16S ribosomal RNA". It matches the Rfam family "Bacterial small subunit ribosomal RNA", at positions 28 to 507 of the family's 1533-position model. The record is from RNAcentral.
GACGAACGCUGGCGGCGUGCCUAAUACAUGCAAGUUGAGCGAUGAAGAUUGGUGCUUGCCCCAAUUUGAAGAGCAGCGAACGGGUGAGUAACGCGUGGGGAAUCUGCCUUUGAGCGGGGGACAACAUUUGGAAACGAAUGCUAAUACCGCAUAAUAACUUUAAACAUAAGUUUUAAGUUUGAAAGAUGCAAUUGCAUCACUCAAAGAUGAUCCCGCGUUGUAUUAGCUAGUUGGUGAGGUAAAGGCUCACCAAGGCGAUGAUACAUAGCCGACCUGAGAGGGUGAUCGGCCACAUUGGGACUGAGACACGGCCCAAACUCCUACGGGAGGCAGCAGUAGGGAAUCUUCGGCAAUGGACGAAAGUCUGACCGAGCAACGCCGCGUGAGUGAGGAAGGUUUUCGGAUCGUAAAACUCUGUUGGUAGAGAAGAACGUUGGUGAGAGUGGAAAGCUCAUCAAGUGACGGUAACUACCCAGAAAGGGACGGCUAACUACGUG